GUUGUCAUAAUAGUAAUCCUGCUCAGUACGAGAGGAACCGCAGGUAUAGACAUUUGAUGUAUGUGCUUGGCUGAGGAGCCAAUGGGGUGAAGCUACCAUCUGUGGGAUUAUAACUGAACGCCGCUAAGGCAGAAUCCCUCCUAAAAGUGACGAU
Molecule: ribosomal RNA, 154 nt
Filed under: Pelobates cultripes (western spadefoot toad)
Lineage: Eukaryota; Metazoa; Chordata; Amphibia; Anura; Pelobatidae
Description: LSU_rRNA_eukarya
Rfam family: Eukaryotic large subunit ribosomal RNA
Source: RNAcentral